This 425-nucleotide ribosomal RNA is filed under the name uncultured bacterium. RNAcentral's name for it is "partial 16S ribosomal RNA". It matches the Rfam family "Bacterial small subunit ribosomal RNA", at positions 354 to 796 of the family's 1533-position model. The record is from RNAcentral.
GUGGGGAAUCUUGCGCAAUGGGCGAAAGCCUGACGCAGCCAUGCCGCGUGAAUGAUGAAGGUCUUAGGAUUGUAAAAUUCUUUCACCGGGGACGAUAAUGACGGUACCCGGAGAAGAAGCUCCGGCUAACUUCGUGCCAGCAGCCGCGGUAAUACGAAGGGGGCUAGCGUUGCUCGGAAUUACUGGGCGUAAAGGGCGCGUAGGCGGACAGCUUAGUCAGAGGUGAAAGCCCAGGGCUCAACCUUGGAAUUGCCUUUGAUACUGGCUGUCUUGAGUUUGGGAGAGGUGAGUGGAACUCCGAGUGUAGAGGUGAAAUUCGUAGAUAUUCGGAAGAACACCAGUGGCGAAGGCGACUCACUGGCCCAAUACUGACGCUGAGGCGCGAAAGCGUGGGGAGCAAACAGGAUUAGAUACCUUUGUAGUCC